CCUGUACUUUCUUUAAUUGUGAUGGAGUGACGGAGAAGGAUAAGCAUACCUAUUAUUGGAUUUAGGGGUAAGUAGUUACUGGUGAUUGUAGGCAAAUCCGCAAUCUAUAACUGGGAGCUAUGAUGCAUAGGACUUUUGUCUGAAUUUGCCAAUUCCAUGCUUCCUAGAAAAGUUUCUAAACUUAAUUUUAUUGAAACCUGUACCAAGAACGGACACACGUCCCCAAGAUGAGUAUUCUAAGGCGAGCGAGAAAACUAGUGUUAAGGAACUCUGCAAAAUGACCCCGUAAGUUCGCAAGAAGGGGCGCCUAUGGUAACACAUAGGCCACAGUAAAUUAUGAGGGGCAACUGUUUAUCAAAAACACAACUCUCUGCUAAACCGCAAGGUGAUGUAUAGGGGGUGAAGCCUGCCCAGUGCCCGAAGGUUAAGUGGAUGCGUUAG
This 441-nucleotide ribosomal RNA is filed under the name Mycoplasmopsis bovis. RNAcentral describes it as "bacterial LSU rRNA". It matches the Rfam family "Bacterial large subunit ribosomal RNA", at positions 1438 to 1893 of the family's 2925-position model. The record is from RNAcentral. Lineage: Bacteria; Bacillati; Mycoplasmatota; Mycoplasmoidales; Metamycoplasmataceae.